RNAcentral lists this ribosomal RNA (253 nucleotides) under uncultured bacterium. Its description in RNAcentral is "partial 16S ribosomal RNA". It matches the Rfam family "Archaeal small subunit ribosomal RNA", at positions 474 to 727 of the family's 1478-position model. The record is from RNAcentral.
UACCAGCACCCCGAGUGGUCGGGACGAUUAUUGGGCCUAAAGCGUCCGUAGCCGGUUCUACAAGUCUUCCGUUAAAUCCACCUGCUCAACAGUUGGGCUGCGGAGGAUACUAUAGAGCUAGGAGGCGGGAGAGGCAAGCGGUACUUAGUGGGUAGGGGUAAAAUCCGUUGAUCCAUUGAAGACCACCAGUGGCGAAGGCGGCUUGCCAGAACGCACUCGACGGUGAGGGAUGAAAGCUGGGGGAGCAAACCGG